UCGCCUGUUUAUCAAAAACAUGUCCUUUUGUUUAUAAUUUAAGGUCUGACCUGCCCACUGAAUUUAAUUUAAAGGGCCGCGGUAUUUUGACCGUGCAAAGGUAGCAUAAUCAUUAGUCUUUUAAUUGAGGGCUGGAAUGAACGGUUGGACGAGGUAUUGACUGUCUCUGUACAAAUGAAAUUAGAAUUUAACUUUUAAGUGAAAAGGCUUAAAUUGAGUUGGAGGACGAGAAGACCCCAUAGAGCUUUAUAUUGGGUGUGUUUGUAGUGUGUUUAGUGGUAUUUUUAUUGCAACACGUUCAUUAUUUUGUUGGGGUGACAGGAAGAUACAAUAAACUCUUUUUAUCAAUUAAACAUUUAUGAAUGAAUUUUUGAUCCAUUUUUAGUGAUUAUAAGUCUAAGUUACCUUGGGGAUAACAGCGUAAUCUUUUUCGAGAGUUCUUAUCGACAAAAAGGGUUGCGACCUCGAUGUUGGAUUAAGGGUAAUUUUGGGUGUAGCUGUUCAAAAUUUAGGUCUGUUCGACCUUUGAAUCCUUACAUGAUCUGAGUUCAAACCGGAGA
RNAcentral lists this ribosomal RNA (560 nucleotides) under Trinotoperla nivata. Its description in RNAcentral is "partial 16S ribosomal RNA". It matches the Rfam family "Bacterial large subunit ribosomal RNA", at positions 1796 to 2622 of the family's 2925-position model. The record is from RNAcentral. Lineage: Eukaryota; Metazoa; Arthropoda; Insecta; Plecoptera; Gripopterygidae.